This 253-nucleotide ribosomal RNA is filed under the name uncultured bacterium. RNAcentral describes it as "partial 16S ribosomal RNA". It matches the Rfam family "Bacterial small subunit ribosomal RNA", at positions 524 to 776 of the family's 1533-position model. The record is from RNAcentral.
UACGUAGGGGGCAAGCGUUGUCCGGAUUUAUUGGGCGUAAAGAGCGUGUAGGCGGCCAUACAGGUCCGUUGUGAAAACUGGAGGCUUAACCUCCAGACGUCGAUGGAAACCGUAUGGCUAGAGUCCGGAAGAGGAGAGUGGAAUUCCUGGUGUAGCGGUGAAAUGCGCAGAUAUCAGGAAGAACACCCGUGGCGAAGGCGGCUCUCUGGGACGUUACUGACGCUGAGACGCGAAAGCGUGGGGAGCAAACAGG